RNAcentral lists this ribosomal RNA (492 nucleotides) under uncultured bacterium. RNAcentral's name for it is "partial 16S ribosomal RNA". It matches the Rfam family "Bacterial small subunit ribosomal RNA", at positions 29 to 507 of the family's 1533-position model. The record is from RNAcentral.
AGUGAACGCUGGCGGUAGGCCUAACACAUGCAAGUCGAACGGCAGCACAGUAAGAGCUUGCUCUUACGGGUGGCGAGUGGCGGACGGGGGGGGAAUACAUCGGAAUCUACUUUUUCGUGGGGGAUAACGUAGGGAAACUUACGCUAAUACCGCAUACGCCCUCCGGGUGAAAGCAGGGGAUCUUCGGACCUUGCGCGAUUGAAGGGACCGAGGUCGGAUUAGCUAGUUGGCGGGGUAAAGGCCCACCAAGGCGACGAUCCGUAGCUGGUCUGGAGGGAUGAUCAGCCACACUGGAACUGAGACACGGUCCAGACUCCUACGGGAGGCAGCAGUGGGGAAUAUUGGACAAUGGGCGCAAGCCUGAUCCAGCCAUACCGCGUGGGUGAAGAAGGCCUUCGGGUUGUAAAGCCCUUUUGUUGGGAAAGAAAAGCAGCAGGUUAAUACCCCGCUGUUCUGACGGUACCCAAAGAAUAAGCACCGGCUAACUUCGUG